This 775-nucleotide long non-coding RNA is filed under the name Mytilus galloprovincialis (Mediterranean mussel). The record is from RNAcentral. Lineage: Eukaryota; Metazoa; Mollusca; Bivalvia; Mytilida; Mytilidae.
UUGGGCGCAGAGAGUUAAACCAUAUAUAUGUAGAUCAUUUAUUCAAUAAAAAACAUUAUGCGUCAGGAGCUGACAGAUCAUGAAGCCACAUACAUUUGGUGAAAAGCUACAAUAUAAAAAAAUAAAAACUCAUAACUAACAUGUAAACUACCAACUGUAGUUAUAAAAUACCAAAAUCUAUGAUUGAAAACACUCAUAUCAAUGAAAAUAUACAAUUCACAAAAAAAAGGGGGGAUAAUGUACUAAACUGACUUGACUAGAGUUGUACAAAAAUUGCUGUCUUCAUAAAAUUACAUAUGACUUAGAAAUAUACCAAAUAAUACUGUUUUCGGAUACAAAUAAAACAUUACAAAGUUCACACAUGAAUAUUUACACAAAUGUCAUCGUUCGUAGAAUGUACGCUGUUUCUAUAUAUGCUUUCUCAUGACUUAUACCCCAAAUCACUUAAUAAUAGCUUUAACUAGAAUAUAUGGGACAUAAUGGCAUUAUUACUUACAUCGUAAUUCACCAAGGGACAAGGAGAAUGAUAGUAUUCUGCGUGAUUUCGUACAAAAAUUUAUCUAGGCCAUGCUGCAGGAAGUGUAAAAACAAUGAGUAAAACAAAAACAAAGUCGGAUUAACCACAAUUAUCAAAAAAUGCAAGUUGCGUAUAAAGAGGGAUAACUCUAUCGAUAUUCUUGGCAUUACACUCCCCGUCUGAUAUGAAUAUAUCACUAAUAAAAUUUAACAAUACUUCAAAAAUCAAAAAGUUUUGUCCAAGUACACAAUCAAAAAU